This 381-nucleotide unclassified non-coding RNA is filed under the name uncultured Sphingomonadaceae bacterium. Its description in RNAcentral is "contains 16S-23S intergenic spacer region". Lineage: Bacteria; Pseudomonadati; Pseudomonadota; Alphaproteobacteria; Sphingomonadales; Sphingomonadaceae. The record is from RNAcentral.
UCCGGCUUAUCACCGGCGGUUUCCUUAGAGUGCCCAACUAAAUGAUGGCAACUAAGGACGAGGGUUGCGCUCGUUGCGGGACUUAACCCAACAUCUCACGACACGAGCUGACGAUAGCCAUGCAGCACCUGUCACCUAUCCAGCCGAACUGAAGGAAACCAUCUCUGGUAACCGCGAUAGGGAUGUCAAACGCUGGUAAGGUUCUGCGCGUUGCUUCGAAUUAAACCACAUGCUCCACCGCUUGUGCGGGCCCCCGUCAAUUCCUUUGAGUUUCAGCCUUGCGGCCGUACUCCCCAGGCGGGGCACUUAAUGCGUUAGCUGCGGCACCGGAGGGGUCGAUACCCCCGACACCUAGUGCCCAACGUUUACGGCGUGGACUAC